AGAGUUGAUGUUGAUGACGCA
This 21-nucleotide microRNA is filed under the name Physcomitrium patens. RNAcentral's name for it is "ppt-miR2079". The record is from miRBase by way of RNAcentral. Lineage: Eukaryota; Viridiplantae; Streptophyta; Bryopsida; Funariales; Funariaceae.